CCUACGGGAGGCAGCAGUGGGGAAUAUUGCUCAAUGGCGGAAACCCUGAUGCAGCGACGCCGCGUGAGUGUAGAAGUAUUUCGGUAUGUAAAGCUCUAUCAGCAGGGAAGAAAAUGACGGUACCUGAUUCAGAAGACCCGGCUAACUAGGUGACCGCAGCCGCGGUAAUACGUAGGGGGCAAGCGUUAUCCGGAUUUACUGGGUGUAAGGGGAGCGUAGACGGGAGCACAAGUCUGGAGUGAAAUGCCGGGGCUUAACGCCGGAACUGCUUUGGAUACUGUGCAGCUAGAGUGCAGGCGAGGUAAGUGGAAUGUCUAGUGUAGCGGUGAAAUGCAUAGAUAUUA
RNAcentral lists this ribosomal RNA (344 nucleotides) under uncultured bacterium. Its description in RNAcentral is "partial 16S ribosomal RNA". It matches the Rfam family "Bacterial small subunit ribosomal RNA", at positions 338 to 699 of the family's 1533-position model. The record is from RNAcentral.